AUACGUAGGGGGCAAGCGUUAUCCGGAUUUACUGGGUGUAAAGGGAGCGUAGACGGCGAUGCAAGUCUGAAGUGAAAACCCGGGGCUCAGCCCCGCGGCCUGCUUUGGCAACUGUGUUGCUGGAGUGCAGGUGAGGUGAGUGGAAUUCCUAGUGUAGCGGUGAAAUGCGUAGAUAUUAGGAGGAAAACCAGAGGCGAAGGCGGCUCACUGGACUGUAACUGACGUUGAGGCUCGAAAGCGUGGGGAGAAAACAGGAUUAGAUACCCUGGUAGUCCACGCCGUAAACGAUGAAUGCUAGGUGUCGGGGGGCAAAGCCCUUCGGUGCCGCCGCUAACGCAUUAAGCAUUCCACCUGGGGAGUACGUUCGCAAGAAUGAAACUCAAAUGAAUUGGCGGGG
RNAcentral lists this ribosomal RNA (397 nucleotides) under uncultured bacterium. Its description in RNAcentral is "partial 16S ribosomal RNA". It matches the Rfam family "Bacterial small subunit ribosomal RNA", at positions 523 to 918 of the family's 1533-position model. The record is from RNAcentral.